ACGAACGCUGGCGGCGUGCCUUAUACAUGCAAGUCGAACGAGGUCCAUGGGAGCUUGCUCCCGGAAGACCAAGUGGCGAACGGGUGAGUAUCACGUGAGAAACCUACCCUGGAGUGGGGAAUAACCCGAGGAAACUCGGACUAAUACCGCAUAUCUUCCAAGAGUCGCAUGGCUCAUGGAAGAAAGAAUUUCGCUCUAGGAGGGUCUCGCGACCUAUCAGCUAGUUGGUGGGGUAAUGGCCUACCAAGGCAACGACGGGUAGCUGGUUUGAGAGAACGAUCAGCCACACUGGAACUGAGACACGGUCCAGACUCCUACGGGAGGCAGCAGUAGGGAAUCUUGCGCAAUGGGCGAAAGCCUGACGCAGCAACGCCGCGUGCGGGAUGACGGCCUUCGUGGUUGUAAACCGCUUUCAGCAGGGACGAAAAUGACGGUACCUGCAGAAGAAGUCCCGGCUAACUACGU
Molecule: ribosomal RNA, 465 nt
Filed under: uncultured bacterium
Lineage: Bacteria
Description: bacterial SSU rRNA
Rfam family: Bacterial small subunit ribosomal RNA
Source: RNAcentral